AACGAACGCUGGCGGCAUGCCUAACACAUGCAAGUCGAACGAGACCUUCGGGUCUAGUGGCGCACGGGUGCGUAACGCGUGGGAACCUGCCCUUAGGUUCGGAAUAACUCCCCGAAAGGGGUGCUAAUACCGGAUAAUGUCUUCGGACCAAAGAUUUAUCGCCUUUGGAUGGGCCCGCGUUGGAUUAGCUAGUUGGUAGGGUAAAAGCCUACCAAGGCGACGAUCCAUAGCUGGUCUGAGAGGAUGAUCAGCCACACUGGGACUGAGACACGGCCCAGACUACUACGGGAGGCAGCAGUGGGGAAUAUUGGACAAUGGGCGAAAGCCUGAUCCAGCAAUGCCGCGUGAGUGAUGAAGGCCUUAGGGUUGUAAAGCUCUUUUAACCGGGAUGAUAAUGACAGUACCGGGAGAAUAAGCUCCGGCUAACUCCGUG
This 433-nucleotide ribosomal RNA is filed under the name uncultured bacterium. Its description in RNAcentral is "partial 16S ribosomal RNA". It matches the Rfam family "Bacterial small subunit ribosomal RNA", at positions 29 to 507 of the family's 1533-position model. The record is from RNAcentral.